Molecule: long non-coding RNA, 6669 nt
Organism: Felis catus (domestic cat)
Lineage: Eukaryota; Metazoa; Chordata; Mammalia; Carnivora; Felidae
Exons: 6
Source: RefSeq, a predicted model, not a curated record
AGGCUCCAGGCUCCGAGCCAUCAGCCCAGAGCCUGAUGCGGGGCUCGAACUCACGGACCGCGAGAUUGUGACCUGGCUGAAGUCGGACGCUUAACCGACUAUGCCACCCAGGCGCCCCGUGCAGACCCCUAACUUUUAGAUGGGGCAACAGAGGCUCAGAGAGGCCCCGAGGGCCACACCUGGUGCUGUUUCGUGGUCUUUAAGCAGUGACGUUCUCCACCACGUGCAUGCACAAGACUUUCUAUGUUCUGGAGAGACUGAAGAGGGGAGUUCCCAGAGCAGUGCAUGGACCAUGGUAGAUACUCAGCGAGAGUGUGUCUCAAGAGUGAAGAGUUCUUGGUGCUGUGGGGGGAGCUGGAGAAAUCAGAGCAACAGAAGACUGUUCUAAUCUCUUCAUAGCUCUGAACAACGGUCUGGUCCAAACGUCUGGUCUUCACAGCUAUCCUGAGACCGAUGCUGUUCUUUCUCACCCUUCUUUUUGCAGACUGAGAAACUGAGGCAGAGAGGUUUCAGGUCACAUAAGAACGUGAACUUGUGGAGGGCAGGGCCCUGCAUCACGGAUCUCUGCCCAACUCAGCCCUGGCUCAAGAAAAGUGAGAAAGACCAGGUUCCCCACUGCGGGUCCCGCCCCUCAGAUGCUACAGACACAGAGUCGGCUUGCUCCCCGUAGAAUAUGGUUCUGGAGACCCACAGCAUUGCAAAGGCAGAGAAACCGGCGAUCAUUGCCACUGCUGGGCCUUAGACCAUGCCUCUGACUCAAAGGAAGUGCCCUUGGGGGUGAAGAGCCCCAGGUUUGGUGUGGCACCAGAAGCUUCGGUUGCUCUUUCUGACCUCAUUUUUCCUGUGCUGCACUGGCCCUUGGAGAUGACCCACUGCUGGGUCUUUCAAUGCUGAGGGAGGUGCCUGGCCUCCCACGUGGGCUGCGACCACGCUCACAUAUCAGGUGCCCCUCUCGGUGCUGACUGGGAACCCUCCUCGUGAGCCCUUCAGUGUGGCUCAGACCAGCCUUUGCAUGAAUCCAUUCUGCUUCCUAACUUGGCUGCUACCUGUCAUGUCUCUCCAUAAGCCCAGAUGCCACUGAGUGGCUUGAGACCACAUGCAGCGCAGCCGGGCACCCCCUGCAUCUGUCUCCCAGGCUCCCGGCCUCCACAGAGAACCUAAGUGCCGUGCAAAGCCCACUUUCCAAACAACCGCCAGUCUGGAAUUGGGUGCCACAGCUCACAGCAAUAGAGCAGGUCAGAUCCCUACCCCUUCAAGUAACAGCUGGAGGGAACAACUGUGAAAUCCCCAUCCCUGGGUGCUCUGUUAGAGAAAUUAGGUCACACCUGUGAUAAGGUGCGAUAUGGCCCAUAAAAAAGAAAGUGAAACCCUCUCUUUUAGCCAUAUUGCUGAGUAAAAGCAGAAUGGAAGAGAACCAUGGUAUAUAUGUGAAAACAAAAGACUAGGCAUCUAUUUUCCUUUAUAAUGGAUGUAUUUCCUUAGCUCAGUAUUUCUCGUCAAGGGAAUCUGAUGGAAGGCACUGGAAGUUGGCAAACCUUUUCUGUGAAGGACCAGAUGGUAAAUAUUCUGGGCUUCACGGGCCGGAGGUCUCCAUCGCAGCUCCUUGGGUCUGCUGCUGCAGCCGGAAAGCCGUCGACAAAACGUACAUGGGCAGUGGCUGCAGCCCCAGUGGCACACAGACUUGAAAAGACUUGGCAGAGAAAACCCUUCCAAAAGUCCCUCCAGAGAUGUCCCUCUAGAUCCCUUUGGCCGAGACUAUUCUACAUGGCCUGUAGACCAUGUAGACCGAGACUAUUCUACAGUGGCUUCUGUGACCGCUUCAUGCAGGACUUCCCGAUGAGCUGGGACAGCCUCCUUGUUGUUGCAAACAAAGAUGGGGCCAGCUGGGGCCGCUAGGGCUGGCAAAGAAGUGGGGUGAGUCAACUACACCCCAAACCCUCUUUUCUCUCUUGAUGACUCCCGGCUGGGCCCGGUGUGAACGGCUGAAGCCAUCUGGUUGGUGGCUGUCUUUAAGGGUCACUGGUGGAGGGGGCAGGACCCCUGAAAACGUUUUCUGGGUUUUGGUUUUGGGUGACUGGCCAUUCUCCUGUGGUAAAGCUCCCAGCAUCUCCCUGCUCUCUGAAUCUGCUAGCAAACCACACACACCCUCUGUUUCUGUGCAAUGGACUUGCUGUCCUAACCUCGCGGUUACCAGGUUAGUUCAGCUUCGGUGACAGGGACUCCUGCCCGUGUCUGCUCUCACCCUGCCCAUCCACACUGCACCCUGGAGGGUUGUUCCUGAAGGACUUCCUUGCCUGAAACCGAGGUGCCAAGGCAGCGACCGACUCUUUGGUGUGGCAUUCAAGGCCUUUCGUGAUUGGCCUCAUCUCUUUUUCCUGACAUCCUCCUGUGUUUCAACCGUCCUGGAACCAGGGUCACCUCCUGCCCUCCUUCCCACCUCACACGUCCUGGCCUCUGGGCCUUGCUUGCUCCCCGUGAUCUUCUGGCGGGACAUCCCUCCCUGCCCUCCCCGGGAUGCUCAGUACUUGCUGGGCACAGGAGUCCCUUCUUCAAGAGAAAUCUACAUGGAAUUGCAAUAUGAAAAACAGUAAAAGUGAUUGUUCAUUAUCGUACAUUUUUAUUUUGUAAGUUCAAACUGAAAGCAUUUGCUCAUCAUAAAGUCGAUCAGUGAGAACAGUGGCGCUUUCUUGGCGGAUGCAGACCAGACGGGGCUGGGCUGAUGGCUGCCAUCUCUUGCCAGCCUCAGCCUCCGGAUCAUUUCCCUACUAUGGUGUGCUGCUCAGUGUCCGGAAGUCCUGCCUCACGAAGAGUCCAUGUUUUCUGAGAGUCCUCCACUGAGAUACUGGGACAGCCGUCAGCUGAGAUGAGGAAAGGAGCCGUAGGAAUUCAAAGCCGAAUCUCUGACAAUAUCUGCCAACAGGAGGGCAGAGACAUCUUGUUUUUAAUUACAAAUAUGAAAGUCAGACAAAAAGCACCUCGGGCUUAAAAUAGACACUAAAGCGAAGGCUUGCUUGUUUACCUGCACACCACCUGGAGGGCCUGAGUGGCUGGGUCUGGGGAGCUAAGAACCCCCUCACACCACAUGCACGGCUCCCCUAUAAUCCCACGAGUCCACUCAAGUACUGGUUGUUGUGGGCACCAUGCUUUGGGAAAUGCAGACUACAAUGACGAUGCUACUAGAAAUAAUGGCAGGUGAAGGAUGUUUAUUGUCUUAGUAUCGAACAGGGACUGUGCUCAGCACUUUCUCACUCGGUCCUCACACCAACCUUAGAAAUGAUUUUUCUUCCCAUCCUUCAUUUGGGGAAAAUGAGGCUUUAGAAAAGGUUGUUUUUGGCCAUGAUCACACGGCUGGCUAAGUAGCAACGCUGGCACCAGGGCCGAGAUCUUGAACCCAGUGCCUCUAGAAGAUGGAUUACGACGUGCCGACCAGGCCUCCUUGACACACGGAAAUGUGGCAGCUUCUAGUGUGUGUGUGCAGCAGGCACCGUGGUUCUGCUAUGAGGAAGUUGGGGAAACAGGCUCUCUGCAACCAUGGCUUCCAUGGCCAGCACAGCCCACUCCCAGAACUGCUCUGCCUUUGCAGCAAGAAAAAUAAUCCACAGAUUGUGGAGAAGGAUCAGCUCAUUUGAACUCACGCGAGUAGUGUUCUUAGAACCCUCUGUAUAAACACAGAGAAUGUGUUUGCGCCUCACUGCCUACAAGCACACUUUGCUCACCGCGGGCUUCGAGUAGCACAGUUGCAAAGUGCAAAGUGACAGACACGGCCCCUGCCCUCCUAGAGCCUGGCCUACUUGGGGACAACCUGCGCUGGUCUAAGUGGACCCCCUGGGUGGUGGCAGAAGCAGGUUUCCAACUGGCUCCAGUUUCCAUGGACCUGGCUCUUCUGCCUGGUAUAGCCUCUUGCUGGAAUCUGGCGACAUGGGCUGAUAGGCAUCACGGCCGCAUAGCUCUGCACCAGAGAAGAGCCAUCUCGAUCUAGCAUUGUCUCCUUCUGGGAAAAUUCUAGGGAAUUUGCUGACCACUCCUGUGUAAGCAAGAGUGCCGUGCACUGGGAAACUCUGGAGAAGCUACCAAAAUGCAUUCUUUGAAUCCAUUGUGCUUCUAAGAGUUUGGAUGGCCAGGAAAAUAGAUGGAUUUCCCACGUGUCAUUUACAUGUCAGCCCUAAAGCAUAUUUUGGGAGUGCCUGUUUUCUGAUGAUGCUCAACCGGGGGCUGAAGCAGGCAGCUCCAUCCCUACCUUCCAGUCUUGGGGAAGAUAUUGCAAAGGCUGGGUAAGAGGGCAGGCGGCAGGUAGCCAAAAGGAUAUGCUUCCUCUCUCCUUCACUCCAGGGCCUGGACUAUGGGUGGCCUAGGCCAGUUGCAUGCAGCCAGGGCCAGUGUCCAGAAGGUCAUAUGCGCUUGAGAGCCGGCCAAGGGCAGCUUGGAUAAGUCUCGUCCAGGGCACUGUGUGCCAACCUGAGUGGGCCAGGGUAGCAGGGCUCCCAAUCUCUGUCCCUGGCACUGCCCUGGCCCAGGGGGGAGUUCCUCUCUGCUCACUGUGGUUGGGCUUGAGUGCCUGAGCUGUUGGCAACUUGUGGUCCACCGCUAGCCCCAUUUUGGGCAAUGUUGUUGCAGUAGAAGAGUAUCAUACACGAGAAUAGAAAGCCUUUGUAAGACUGAAACCAGAACAGAGCAAAGAGAGAAGUCUUCCUUUAACAUCACAGGAUGUUGAGAUAAUUCCCCUGCUCAGAGACCAGGUCCACAGUCCUUGCUUUUCCAGGUGUUGGUCACUUAUCUGCAGCCUUCUUUUCCAACCUUAGUAGCAGAGCCUAUGGCCCCGGCAACCUGACCCAGCUCUGGGCCUUUGCUCAGCUGUUUCUGUGAUGUCCCCAUCAGCUGCACCCAUGGGACUGCUUCUUCCUCAUCCUCCAAGGCCCUGGUGAAAGGCCUGCUCCUUGACAGUGCAGUCCUUGAGUCCCAGCAGCAUGAGGUCCCUCCAUCACCCGAUUCCUAUGGCACUCACCCUGUGUUCUUCCUGUGCUGUCGCCACACUUGGCCUUGUAAUGUCUUGUCCAUCCUAGCCGACUGGAGGUCCCUGAGCACAGACUCUGCUCACUCCCUAUCACAGCACCAAGCACACGCUGCUAUGCACAUGGACCGCUAUGCCUGCAACACACAUGUCCAGGGUGACUGGCUGGGGCCUGUGGCUCUCUCCAUUCCUAAUGCCUCCUGUGCAGACGUAGCAGGAGGUCCUACAGCAAACACUGACUUCAGUGCUCAUUGCCUUCUUCCACCAAAUCUGAAGGUGGGGGGAUGAGGUCUCGGGGGUUCAUCCUGGCCACCAGGCAGACAUCGUAACUGUCAUGCAUGAGGACAUCAAUGGCUACAACAUUCCACUGGUUUUCCCAUGGGUCUAGCUCCAGUAUUUCUUUGGAGAUAACUUCAUGUCGAUCUGAAAAAUAGCAAGGUAGGAAGACAAAAAUAUCAUGGGGGUAUUAAAUUCAGAGGCCAAUUUCACUCUAUUUAACAACUUCCUCUAAAAGGCAUCAAGUACCAAAAUGAAAAAACAACUGAAUAAGCAUACUUUAAAUGAAGGCACAAUGCCCCUGACAUAUAAGAAACUAACAAAGGCCAUGUUACAACUCACAUUCAGAAAUUAUUUGACAUACUAACAGGGUAUACUACUGUCUACAUUUGCUAAUUUAUUAAUGUUGGGAGCUACAGAUGAAAUUGUCCUAUUUCUACACCUGUAGGGGAGAUACAGCUUGUGACCUUGUAUGACUUGCUGACCUCCCUGAGUUUAUGUUUCCACAAAGGCAUACAGGGAUGCUAAUACUAAGCCAGGGUCUUUGCAGGAAACAGAUGGCUCACCCUAUCUGGAUGAUUUGAAGAGAAUUUAGUGAAGGGACUGUUGGAAAGGUGUGGGCAGGGUUCAAGAAGACCCACAAGGGAUGGUACAAUCCUCCAGGGCUAAGAACAUCAAGGGCUAUUACCACCCCUAGACCUGAGAGGCAGCAAGGGGAGAAAUAGGGACUGGCCUUGGGGAGGGCAGCUGUCUGGAGAGUGCAGCCUGGUUGCAGCAGACAUAGGUGGGGAAGAUGGAGCAGUCAUCCUCAGCAACCCCACAGGGAGGAGGCAGGGACAGGAAAUGCCCUGACUGUACCCUCCUUUCACCCAACAAUCUCUGCUCUUGCCUCCCAUUGGCUGAACUCAACCAGAAGCCAGAGGAGAAAGGUGUCUGUGAAUGCACCCAGUAUACGUCGGCUUCACAGGACAUAGAGCAUGACAGAGAAUGGGGCAGGGUGAGUCUGGAGGGGCAGAUGGAAGAUUCCUGGUCUGGAUGACUAUUUCAUAAUUUUAUGAUGAUCAGAGGAGAUAAUAUAUACAAAAGUGCCCAAUCCUGGCAUAUUAUCAAUUUUUGAAAAUGGUCCAUAUGUGCCUGUAAAGGAUGUGUAUUUUGUAGUUGUUGGUGCAAUGUCCCAUAUACACUCAUUGGGUCAUGUUAGCUAACACUUCCAUGUAUUUACUGGUUUUUGUGGGCUUGUUCUUCCAGGUACUGAGAGAGUUUUGUUAAAAUAUUCCGCUAAGAUUAUGGAUUUGUCUGUUUCUCCUUUUAGUUCUGUCAAUUUUUAGCAUACACAUUUUGAGUCUGUUAUUAAGUACAUAUAAAUUUUACCAUUUAUAAAUUUA